GGAAGCCUAUUCAUUCCCUUAUUUGCCCACUUAGAGAGUUAAGGCUACACAGGGAACCUAAUUGGAAUUGGAUUCUAUUCCUCUGAGAAGAUAAAUAAAAUUCUUAUUCACAGAGAAAAAUAAGGACACUGUGCAUCGCGAAUAGACUUUGUAAAAGCUGCACACAAGGUCGGCUGGCGCUUGGACCUUUAGCAAGAAAGGUCCCUGUGCCUUUAAGAAGAACCUAAGGGUGUCCAGAAGCCACUGCACACUGGGCUGGAAGGAUGAAGCAGAACCUGAAACGCAUGAAGUUCUGGCAGGAUUCUGGUCAACCUUGGAGCGAAGUGUGCCCUUCCCCCGGCCUUGAGUUGGCUAAACAAACCUCCUCCGACACUAGAGCCAGACAUCAGGCCUUGCCACGUUUACAUCUUCCUGCCAGAGACCUGAGAACUGAGAACUGCUCGCCCGCUGAGCUGCUGAAAAGCUUACUUUGCAACAGAACCCAACCGAAACAAAGAGGUGGGUCCUUGGGUUUUCCCACAUAUAUAUUCUGAGCUGUACAUUAAAAUUUAAGCCUUGAUCAA
Mastomys coucha (southern multimammate mouse) is the source of this 563-nucleotide long non-coding RNA. RefSeq lists it as uncharacterized. Lineage: Eukaryota; Metazoa; Chordata; Mammalia; Rodentia; Muridae. The transcript has 2 exons. The record is from RefSeq and is a predicted model, not a curated record.